GCCCAGGUGGCGGAAUUGGUAGACGCGCUAGCUUCAGGUGCUAGUGUACUUAUGUAUGUGGGAGUUCGAGUCUCCCCCUGGGCACCA
This 87-nucleotide transfer RNA is filed under the name Methylophaga sp. RNAcentral's name for it is "tRNA-Leu". It matches the Rfam family "tRNA". From Rfam's summary of the family: Transfer RNA (tRNA) molecules are approximately 80 nucleotides in length. RNAcentral also lists the same sequence under 1 other name. The record is from RNAcentral. Lineage: Bacteria; Pseudomonadati; Pseudomonadota; Gammaproteobacteria; Thiotrichales; Piscirickettsiaceae.